Molecule: ribosomal RNA, 480 nt
Filed under: Entamoeba moshkovskii
Lineage: Eukaryota; Evosea; Mastigamoebida; Endamoebidae
Description: SSU rRNA
Rfam family: Eukaryotic small subunit ribosomal RNA
Source: RNAcentral
AGUAUGGUCACAAGGCUGAAACUUAAAGGAAUUGACGGAAGGGCACACCAGGAGUGGAGCCUGCGGCUUAAUUUGACUCACCACGGGAAAACUUACCAAGACCGAACAGUAGAAGGAAUGACAGAUUAAGAGUUCUUUCAUGAUUUAUUGGGUAGUGGUGCAUGGCCGUUCUUAGUUGGUGGAGUGAUUUGUCAGGUUAAUUCCGGUAACGAACGAGACUGAAACCUAUUAAUUAGUUUCCUGCCUAUACGACAGGAAUCUCCGCAAGGUCAGGUGCCUCGGUACCACUUCUUAAAGGGACACAUUUCAAUUGUCUCAUUUUAAUCGAUGUCUCUGGCUCCGGUCAGAACUCUUUUAACGUGAGAAAAAGAAAAAGGAAGCAUUCAGCAAUAACAGGUCUGUGAUGCCCUUAGACAUCUUGGGCCGCACGCGCGCUACAAUGGAGUUACUAGAGAGUAUUUUAUCAUCCAAGCCUUAUAU